Long non-coding RNA from Amphiprion ocellaris (clown anemonefish), 917 nucleotides. The record is from Ensembl. Lineage: Eukaryota; Metazoa; Chordata; Actinopteri; Pomacentridae.
UGUAUUCUCCGUAAGGCCCUGUUUUGCAGAUGUGACCGGCUGAUUAGCCAUCACGCCAUACAGCUGUGGGGGAACUAAUGAUUGGUUUGGCCGUUGCAGCAGGGGGUUCAAAUUGAUUGACGGACGUAGCUCCACUAUACUCCUGAACACUCCUGGACAGACCAGUGUUCUGUGGCUGCAGUGCAGAGUCUGCUGACGGUGUCUCUGCUUAUCGGCGGCGUCAGGGUCGGACAUCCGAGGUAAACAAAAUGUUUGUUUAUGCUAAUUGUUAUCGUUCUGUUGCUUGAUUGUUUUUAAACAUUUCUUUGUUUCAUUACCGUUUUGCCUCUGUUGCCUUGUCUUUUUGUUUGUUUAUUUUGUUGUUUCUUUCUUUUAGUUUGUAGUUGUUUUGCCUAGUUCUGUAUUAGUUUGCUUGGUUCGAGUUUAGUUUCGUUUCUCCCCAUGUGUGUUUAUCUUUAGGUUGUCGUGGUUGUGUUCUCUGGCUCAGUAAUCAGGUUUCUCCCCUCCAUAGCUGCGUAGGGCCUGUGUGACUGUCAGUUUUAAUAACUGCAUUUAUAGUAACGUGUGUGCGUGUGCGUGUGCUGAAUAUAUUUUUGUACCAGAAUAAAAAUUGUAUUUAUGUUUUUCUAUACACGCCUCUGUAUUCAUUUGUGCACGUACCUGUGUUUAGUAGGGGAAACCCUCUGUUGAGAGGCAGGAUUGUUAACAUUCUUAGGGUGAAAGUCCCUAGGUGGUGUUGUCGGUUCCAUGUUGAAAGAAACCAGAAGACCUUCACCAGUCCUAACUUGGUUACACAUACAUUCAAUUUCCUACACUCAGCAGAACAGAUUUCUGUUUAAGUAGCACUGGCUAAUGUGAGGCUGCUUUUCUUUUUCAUUCAGCCAUCCUUUAUCCUGUAUUGUGUCAGUUGUCGCAGU